CAGAUGCUCAUCUCUGCCAAAACUCACGUGACUACAACACAAACACAGCAUCACAGUUCAUCACUUUACUUUAAUUGCUUCUUCACUCAGGAUUAACCAACAGAAGCUGAAGGAAUGGCAGACAUUACUCAGACACCUGUGAACACGGAGCAGUGGUUAGAGUCCAAGACAGUGAAAUCAUCGUCAUUAUACUUCUGACUGAACUAGCAAGGAGCAUUAGAGACAAUGAGAAAAACUCAAAAGAAGAUACUUUGAAGAAUGCUGGUAAUCAAACCCAACAAGUUUGUCAGGUGCAGAAAUAAAAGGUCCCAAACAAAGAUGUCACCGGAUUAAGAUGUGGAAAGACAUGUUACACCACAACAACCAUAAAUCCUGAGUAAUUUGAAUAUGGGCAACAACCGAGGAAAAGUACCCAUUGUUUUAGUCAGAAAUGAUUCAUGGUAAUAGUAAUAGUAAAUGAUUAGAUAAAUAAAUAAAAAGCACAAAAUGGUUUUAAUUUUAAACUCUGCCAUUUACUAAUGGGUUAUUUAAAACACUAAGUUUUGGUGUAUCUUUACAAUAAGGUAUCAUUAGUUAACAUUAGUAAAUGCUGAAAUUAACAUUAAAUAAUGAGCAAUACAUUUGUUACAAUUUGCAUUAAUCUUUGAUACGGUUAAAAAACAACUGUUCUUUGUUAGUUCAUGUUGGCUCUGAUCCAUUAAAUAAUGUCAACAGGCACAACUUUUGUUCUCAAUGUAUUAGUAAAUUUU
Long non-coding RNA from Cyprinus carpio carpio, 749 nucleotides. The record is from Ensembl. NCBI's taxonomy places the organism in Eukaryota, Metazoa, Chordata, Actinopteri, Cypriniformes, Cyprinidae.